RNAcentral lists this ribosomal RNA (440 nucleotides) under uncultured bacterium. Its description in RNAcentral is "partial 16S ribosomal RNA". It matches the Rfam family "Bacterial small subunit ribosomal RNA", at positions 338 to 795 of the family's 1533-position model. The record is from RNAcentral.
CCUACGGUGUGCAGCAGUGGGGCAUAUUGGACAAUGGGGGAAACCCUGAUCCCGCGACGCCGCGUGAGUGAAGAAGUCUUUCGGUACGUAAAGCUCUAUCAGCAGGAACGAACAUGACGGUACCUGACUAAGAAGCACCGGCUAACUACGUGCCAGCAACCGCGGUAAUACGUAGGGGGCAAGCGUUAUCCGGAUUUACUGGGUGUAAAGGGAGCGUAGACGGCAGCGCAAGUCUGGAGUGAAAUGCCGGGGCCCAACACCGGAACUGCUCGGGAAACUGUGAAGCUGGAGUGCAGGAGAGGUAAGCGGAAUUCCUGGUGUAGCGGUGAAAUGCGUAGAUAUCAGGAGGAACACCGGCGGCGAAGGCGGCUGACUGGACUGUAACUGACGUUGAGGCUCGAAGGCGUGGGGAGCAAACAGGAUUAGAUACACUUGUAGUC